RNAcentral lists this ribosomal RNA (253 nucleotides) under uncultured bacterium. Its description in RNAcentral is "partial 16S ribosomal RNA". It matches the Rfam family "Bacterial small subunit ribosomal RNA", at positions 524 to 776 of the family's 1533-position model. The record is from RNAcentral.
UACGUAGGCAGCGAGCGUUGUUCGGAGUUACUGGGCUUAAAGCGUGUGUAGGCGGAUUCCUAAGUACCUUGUGAAAUCCCACGGCUCAACCGUGGAACUGCUCGGUAUACUGGGUAUCUUGAGCCACUUAGGGGCGACCGGAACAAAUGGUGGAGCGGUGAAAUGCGCAGAUAUCAUUUGGAACGCCAAUGGUGAAAACAGGUCGCUGGGAGUGUGCUGACGCUGAGACACGAAAGCCAGGGGAGCAAACGGG